GUGGANUGGAUUUAAACCCCAUUUAUAAAGGAUUAUCCUUUUUUUAGAA
Molecule: transfer RNA, 49 nt
Filed under: Hyles nicaea (Mediterranean hawk-moth)
Lineage: Eukaryota; Metazoa; Arthropoda; Insecta; Lepidoptera; Sphingidae
Description: partial transfer RNA-Leu
Source: RNAcentral